UGGUGCCAUGGAUGUAAAAUGGGAAGCAGAAGAGUGAGGGCUAUUUCAAGCUCAUUUGAGUCAAACCCAAUGCCAGGUCUAAUUUAAAUUAGGUGGUUAAGCUUAGCCAUCUUAAACAUUUAGAUCUUGACUCGAACCUAAAUUGCGGGCUAAAAUCGGGCUUGCAAUCAGGCUCGGGCUCUGACCGAGCCUAGGCUGGGCUAAUGGUAGGUUCAAGCCCGACCCAAAAAUAAAGCGGGCUCUAUAUCUCAGUCCAAAUCCGGCCU
This 266-nucleotide long non-coding RNA is filed under the name Elaeis guineensis (African oil palm). Its description in RNAcentral is "long non-coding RNA (EGUI_LNC010988)". The record is from RNAcentral. Lineage: Eukaryota; Viridiplantae; Streptophyta; Magnoliopsida; Arecales; Arecaceae.